RNAcentral lists this ribosomal RNA (454 nucleotides) under uncultured Paludibacter sp. RNAcentral's name for it is "partial 16S ribosomal RNA". It matches the Rfam family "Bacterial small subunit ribosomal RNA", at positions 341 to 792 of the family's 1533-position model. Lineage: Bacteria; Pseudomonadati; Bacteroidota; Bacteroidia; Bacteroidales; Paludibacteraceae. The record is from RNAcentral.
ACGGGAGGCAGCAGUGAGGAAUAUUGGUCAAUGGACGGAAGUCUGAACCAGCCAUGUCGCGUGAAGGAGGAAGGUGCUAUGCAUUGUAAACUUCUUUUGCAGGGGGGUAAAGUGAGCCACGUGUGGUUUAUUGCAAGUACCCUGCGAGUAAGCAUCGGCUAACUCCGUGCCAGCAGCCGCGGUAAUACGGAGGAUGCGAGCGUUAUCCGGAUUUAUUGGGUUUAAAGGGUGCGUAGGCGGGAGAUCAAGUCAGCGGUGAAAUUCUGUGGCUCAACCAUAGGGCUGCCGUUGAAACUGGUUUUCUUGAGUGCGGCAGAGGUAGGCGGAAUGUGUGGUGUAGCGGUGAAAUGCUUAGAUAUCACACAGAACACCGAUUGCGAAGGCAGCUUACUGGAGCGCAACUAACGCUGAGGCACGAAAGCGUGGGGAUCGAACAGGAUUAGAUACCCUGGUA